Molecule: ribosomal RNA, 312 nt
Filed under: Triticum aestivum (bread wheat)
Lineage: Eukaryota; Viridiplantae; Streptophyta; Magnoliopsida; Poales; Poaceae
Description: partial small subunit ribosomal RNA
Source: RNAcentral
AUGCCGAUACCAUGGACCCAUCUCCAGGCUCAUUACGCUGCUGCCGGACCUGCUGCCGAGACUCCAUCUCCUUCGAGUUGCGUCCCUACCGAAGCCAGCCGUCCCCGUGCCUUGAGAUCGAAGAUGCCAAGAAGACAACUAAUGUGCCAGGAGGUGAAGGUACUUAGCCACCUAGCAUUGGAUGUGAGGAGGACUUUGAGUGUCAUGGAACAUACAUGGCUGUUAGUAGUAUUUUCGACCAACCAACUUCAAUCAUUUCUUGAAUCUUAUGUGUGUUCUAGACCAUUUGGUGCUUCAAGUGUUUUGGAGUAG